GGUGGCGUCCGGGUUCCUGGUGGGCUCCCCGGUCUUCAAAACCGGUGAGGCCGAGCAUCUCGGCCUGGCGGGUUCGAUUCCCGUCCGCCACCGCCA
This 96-nucleotide transfer RNA is filed under the name Sinomonas humi. Its description in RNAcentral is "tRNA-Sec". It matches the Rfam family "Selenocysteine transfer RNA". Lineage: Bacteria; Bacillati; Actinomycetota; Actinomycetes; Micrococcales; Micrococcaceae. The record is from RNAcentral.